UCUUGUAAGAGUGUGCCUGAACAGCGGCCUGAAGGCGCAACAGGAAACAGGAAGGGCGAGGGGCCCACCUCCAACCCCCAGGUUCAGGAGGAACACAUGUUUAUCACAGAGCGGCCGCCGGGGUCCGCGGGAGACGCCAGACCACACUUCAGGCAAAGGCGGUGGAAACGGCUCCAGGAGGAAAGUGAGAACGUCCGUGCCGGGCUUCGCACGGAGAAGACGCGCGGUGACCGUCUGUCGAACGGGCGAAUGAAUGAAGACAUGUGAACCCAUGACCGGGUGGGAAGAGGAAAAAGGACGAGGAGAGCUACAGAGCUGGGCUGCGGCGGGCAAGCCCCGAGCAACACGGGGAAGGCAGACCUCGCUCCCGGCUUCUCCGAAGAGGGCGGGCACUUCUGACUAAAGCAAAACAAAUCUGAUGCCACUAAGAUAAGAAGCAGCGGAACCAAGGAAGCCAGGGCAUUGUACACUCUCCUGCAUCUGGGAGAGUAACUCGGGAGAAGAAACACAAAAAGAGAAGGAGGGACAAGACUUUCUCUUGAACUUCAAGCUCUGGAAACCAAAGAACACAUGACUCUGUAAAGGGGAAAACAGCCCGAGGACACCUUUCUGGUCAUUCACUACAGCUUCCCAAACGAUCUCUAUGAGGAAACCCUAGAAGGAAACUGGAAGGUAGUGGACAGACUCAGAUCCCGCACUGACCUAAGACACACUCUCAGGCAGUGAGUAACCCAGUGACAAAAACAGUGCCCAUGUGACCAACCUGACAGCUGGCUGUGGCGUCCUCAGGUGACGCUACAAAUUCUAGGCGAGGCAACGGGAGGGGGCAAGGACUUCCUCAGGUCACAAGGAUUAAACAUGCUGUGUGCACAGGGGAACUUCUCAUGCUCAGCACGCCAUCACUGGCACAGCACGACCGGGCAGGGCCUGGAGAUGCUGAGUUUCUCUGGGGCCUCAGGCUGGUCGGCCAGCCCUCCCCCGGGAGCUGCCGGGGGCAGAGGCAGUGACAACAGCAGCGUCAGCGGGCUACAGCUCGCUACUACGAGCGCCACACCCGCGGCCCCUCUCUGAGGAAGCCGGCACCCCGCAGCGCUGCCCUCAGCACCUCCUCGACAGCUCAGGGGCGGGCACAGCAGGCCCGCCGGAGACCACGAGUCCCGAGCGAGGGAACCGCAAUUCCACCGAGGCUUCUCACUUGAGAAGGCGCUGCUUAGCUGCCGCGCAACACAGCUGCUAUGUGACAGGUCCCGGGGUGGCUCUCUGAACUGGAGCAUCAGAGUAUACAUCCUCUGCCCCUAACCUGUCGCCUCUGCCCUGACUGGACUUGACUGUCCCGACACUGACCACGCCGAACCUGAGCUCUUAGGACAAGAGCGUUUUCUCAGAAGAGAUGAAAAGGCUGCCUUGAGGGCAGAAGCCACGAGCUCUGAGUCUGGACAGUUUCGGUGGAGCUGUCCAUGAGAGACUGGAGUCAAGACAUGGAGCAGACAGCCUGGGCCUCAGGAGGGAGAGCUGGGCUGGAAACCCCAACCUGACGUGGGACUUCCCACCACUGCUCCUGGCAGAGCCAACGGCCUGCAGCGCAAUUUCCUGACUGUCAUCCUCGAACGAGACCUUGAACACGAAGGUCAUUCAGACCUUCUCACCUCACAACGUGGAACCACAGCUGACCUGCCAGGAGCCAGAAGAUCAUUUCUGUUUUCUCUUUCACCCUUACUCACACAUCCAAUUCAUCCAAUCUUUUAAGCUCUAUUUCUAAAAGGCAUGCUAAAUCCACCACUUUUCCCCAUUUCCCCUGCCAGGAUGUGAUCUGCUCAGCCUGAUCUGCCCGGCCUCUCCUGGACCGGGGUCUUCUGCGCGAUUGUGUUUGCAUACCUGUUAAAGAGUUAAUAUAGCUAGGAUUUUAGCUUGAUAUCUAAUUUUUUUAAAUCAUAAGUUAAAGAAUUGCAAAGAAUAUAAUGUUAUUUUUUAAAUUGUUUUUUUAAAAAUAAAGCACCACUCCUUUUUAAAAUAGAAAAUAUCCAACGAAAUACAAAUGUCAUGGUGACCUGACAUCCACGCCAAUCUAUUUAGGAACCGUAAGGACAAACUGUGCUUCAGUGAUUGAAAGUUUUACAUUUUACUUUUGCUCUUUGACCUUGUAUUUCUGUGCUACCUCUCCUUAAAAUCUCGCACUCACAAAAUUUAUUUUGUGCUAGAUUUUUUGUAUAGAACCUCUCUCAUACUUUUCUGCAACAAAAAUAUGUAUAAAUCUAAGUUUGGUAUUCACAAAAUUUCCGGUGGUCAUAACUCUGUUAAGAAAUUCUUUCGGAUUGCGUAAUCAUUACAAUUACUAGUAACAUAUGACCAAUCAAAACUAAGAUGAAGAUCAGGUAUUUUGAGAGACUAACUAUUAAACAUGAAGAGUGUAAAAUCUCAUCAACAACAUGUCUUGUCCUUAAACAUCUUUAUCUUAAUGACAUCAGUGGAACUUUUACGUUUGAUAGUUGAGAUGUCUCUGGCUGAACAUUACUGAUCGCUGGGGAGACCCAGGAUUCUGUAUCAGGUCUAGAAUGGGUUUCAUUCCCACAGGCGUAAGCAGUAGCACGUUUUCACGAGAAUAAACAGGAACGGGAGUUCGGCUAGGGCAGUGCUACUCGGCGUCCCGCAGCCUUGGGACCUACGUGCCCCAAGCUGCAUAGCGGCCCGUCAUCGAAAAUCACUUCCAGUAUCCACUGGCUGCCCUUCGAUUCUGCUGAAAACAGAGAACUGCAAACAGUCUGGCUCUUCUCGCCCACUGUCUCUACACCAGCCCUUGGAAUUACCCCUUGGUUGUGGUUUAAGAGGUUUCGCUCCCCAGGGGAAUGCAGAACAGUGAGACCGAGGGGAGGGAGGUGCCCACCGCAGGGUGAGAAGGGGAAGUGAAAAAAGAGAAUGUGCACACCUCAGACGCCUCCCAGGCAGAGCAAUUUGAGGAAAAAGCACGCUUAGCCGCUGAGAAGCUGUGCCCACGGACCCUUGGGGGAAAUGUUUGUGCAUUUCCAGGCAGAUAGGUACCUUGCUUUAAAGACCUGUGUGGCCUAGGCGACUCUAAUCCCUCAUCUGACCUCCCUGCUUCCACUCUCAGCUCUGCUGAAACCACGCUCCUGCAGCCAGAA
Long non-coding RNA from Camelus dromedarius (Arabian camel), 3137 nucleotides. RefSeq lists it as uncharacterized. The transcript has 3 exons. The record is from RefSeq and is a predicted model, not a curated record. Lineage: Eukaryota; Metazoa; Chordata; Mammalia; Artiodactyla; Camelidae.